ACUUUAAAUAGGUAGGAC
Molecule: small nuclear RNA, 18 nt
Filed under: Arabidopsis thaliana (thale cress)
Lineage: Eukaryota; Viridiplantae; Streptophyta; Magnoliopsida; Brassicales; Brassicaceae
Description: snRNA_09081
Source: RNAcentral